RNAcentral lists this ribosomal RNA (504 nucleotides) under uncultured bacterium. RNAcentral's name for it is "bacterial SSU rRNA". It matches the Rfam family "Bacterial small subunit ribosomal RNA", at positions 21 to 518 of the family's 1533-position model. The record is from RNAcentral.
GGCUCAGGAUGAACGCUAGCGACAGGCCUAACACAUGCAAGUCGAGGGGCAGCACAAGGAGUAAUCUGAGGUGGCGACCGGCGCACGGGUGAGUAACACGUAUGCAACCUGCCUUUAAGCGGGGGAUAACCCGGAGAAAUCCGGACUAAUACCGCAUAAUACCUAUUUACUGCAUGGUAAAUAGUUUAAACAUUUAUGGCUUACAGAUGGGCAUGCGUAUGAUUAGCUGGUUGGUGAGGUAACGGCUCACCAAGGCAACGAUCAUUAGGGGUUCUGAGAGGAAGGUCCCCCACACUGGUACUGAGACACGGACCAGACUCCUACGGGAGGCAGCAGUGAGGAAUAUUGGUCAAUGGGCGAGAGCCUGAACCAGCCAAGUCGCGUGAAGGAAGAAGGUUUCCUAUGGAUUGUAAACUUCUUUUGCAUGGGAAUAAAGUGAGCUACGUGUAGUUUAUUGUAUGUACUGUGCGAAUAAGGAUCGGCUAACUCCGUGCCAGCAGCUGC